AUACGGAGGGUGCAAGCGUUACUCGGAAUCACUGGGCGUAAAGCGCGCGCAGGCGGUCUUUUAAGUUGGAUGUGAAAGCCUACGGCUCAACCGUAGAACUGCAUCCAAAACUAUUAGACUAGAGUGUGGGAGAGGAAGAUGGAAUUAGUUGUGUAGGGGUAAAAUCCGUAGAGAUAACUAGGAAUACCAAAAGCGAAGGCAAUCUUCUGGAACACUACUGACGCUGAGGCGCGAAAGCGUGGGGAGCAAACAGGAGUAGAAACCCCAGUAGUCC
Molecule: ribosomal RNA, 274 nt
Filed under: uncultured bacterium
Lineage: Bacteria
Description: partial 16S ribosomal RNA
Rfam family: Bacterial small subunit ribosomal RNA
Source: RNAcentral